CCCUUAGAUGUUCUGGGCCGCACGCGUGCUACACUGAGUGGAUCAGCGGGUCAGGUUGCGCGAAAGCGUUUCCUAAUCUUUAAAUCCGCUCGUGAUGGGGAUUGACGGUUGCAAUUUUCUGUCAUGAACGAGGAAUACCUUGUAAGCGCGGGUCAUCAUCCCGCGCUGAAUACGUCCCUGCCCUUUGUACACACCGCCCGUCGCUCCUACCGAUUGAGUGGUCCGGUGAGGCUUUGGGAUCUGAGCGGAAAGAGCGUUCCGCUGUUUCUGCUCGGAAAACUCAGUCGAACCUUAUCAUUUAGAGGAAGGAGAAGUCGUAACA
This 322-nucleotide ribosomal RNA is filed under the name uncultured eukaryote. Its description in RNAcentral is "partial 18S ribosomal RNA". It matches the Rfam family "Eukaryotic small subunit ribosomal RNA", at positions 1470 to 1796 of the family's 1831-position model. The record is from RNAcentral.